CAGCGCUGUAAACCAUCACCAGGCUGUGGAAACUUUCUUCCCCUCCUCAACAACUUAGUGGAGCUCUUUCCAGAACCGGGGAAGAUAUUCUGCGGUCUUCGUGACAAUCGGAGCUCCAGAAUCAGGUUGUGGAUUGAAGAGGUUCCCUCUAUCAGACUCGCUCAUCUGAGUUGGUCAUGAUGCAGGAUCUGUACUUCUGAAGGGAAAACCAAGAGGAUCUGGCUGCAAACAACAAGAUAACGGAAUGCCAAGGCGCCAAACUGUGUUUAUAAGGCAUCGACUCUGCAUCUGUAACGGGACGAGUCGCGUGAAAAGAAGAAAAUUACCAUUUGAAAGAUAAAACAAGACAUCCCUCUCUCCAUCAAGAAAAUGGAGCCAGAGAGAAAAAGAAAAGUUUCCGCUGUGUGGGAUCAUUUUGAUCUUUUAUCUGUAAAUAAGGUUAAAUGUCGCAUCUGCUCAGCGAAGUUGUCUUAUACAAAUAAGAGCACUUACGCAAUGCUGAGACAUUACAGAGUCAAGCAUGCAAACGAAGAGGAAGCAAAUACACCAAGAACGAACACAGAAUCUAGGAAGAUUGCUCUGGACCAAGCAGUCCUGAACUUUAUUAUAAAGGACUGCCAACCCCUGAGCAUUGUGGAGAGCGAGGGGUUCAGGGGGUUGAUUCAGGUCCUUGAUCCAUCUUACGCUUUGCCAACCAGAAAGACGGUUAAGGAAAUGAUGGCCAAAAGACAUGCGGAGGAACUCGAACGAGUAACAAGGGAAGUACAGCAAGCUGUGGCAAUGGCGCUGGUUAAAGAAGAAGCUCCUGAAGAACAGAGAGAUGGUGUGGAUCAGCAGGACCCAGAACAUCUUCACAUAAAGGAGGAACAGGAGGAACUCUGGAUCAGUGUGGAGGGAGAGCAGCUCCAUUUGAAGAAGGAGAUUGAUGUGGUCGAGGUUCCACUCACUACAGUUUCUAUAAAGAGUGAGGAUGAUGAAGAGAAACCUCUGUUCUCAGAGCUUCAUCAGCAGCAAACAGAAGACGGUGAUGUCCCAACCAGCAGCUCAGCUGACCAGAUUACAGCAGAAACUUGGAGGAGCCCAGAUCUAAACCCAUGUGAACAGACAGAUACUUCAGAGACGGAAGUUAGUACCGUGGAUGAAGAGAAUGGUGAUGUGAAUCUAGACUCUGAGCUGUCAGACUUCUGGCCUGAAAAUGACGACGACUGGAAUGAGAGCAGGACUUCUGACUCAGAUGUUAAAAAAACUAUCAACAAAUCCUUUAGCUGCUCUGAGUGUGGUGAACAUUUUCUCCGCAGGUGGUCUCUCCAGAUUCACGUGAGAGAGACGAGUCAUUCAGCGAUAGGGUCUUCAGGCUGUUUGGUUGAUCAGAAAUGUGAUGUAGAGAAGCAACAUGUAGACUCAUGCAGGAAUGUCAAAACAAAACUAAAAUCCUUUGUUUGUAAUGACUGUGGAAAAGAAUUUAGGGGAAAAUCAAAUUUAAAGAACCACGUGACGGUUCACACAAGAGAGAAGCCUUUUGCUUGUGAGCUGUGUGGACAAAGAUUUAGCCGAAAGCAAGUUAUAGAUGAUCACAUGAGAAUCCACUCAGGACUGAAGCCUUUUGCUUGUGAGGUAUGUGGACAAAGAUUUAGCCGAAAGACAUAUUUAUUCCAACAUGCUCGAGUCCACACAGGGCAGAAGCCCUUUGCUUGUGAGAUUUGCGGACAAAGAUUUGGCCGUAGGCCAACAUUAAAAAGUCACAUGAGAGUCCACACAGGUGAGAAGCCUUAUGCUUGUCAGCUUUGUAGACAAAGAUUUAGCCAGAAGGCAAGUUUUAACAGACACAUGGAAGUUCACACAGGACAUAAGCCCUUUGCUUGUGAGCUCUGUGGACAAAGAUUUGCCCGAAAGGCAACUUUAGACAUACACAUGAGACUCCACACAGGACAGAAGCCUUUUGCCUGUGAGCUCUGUGGACAACGAUAUACCAAUAAGUCAAAUUUAAAUGUACACAUGAGAAUACACACAGGACACAAAUAAGUCUUUAAACUACAAAAGUACUAAAAGUGACCCAUGUACCGUAAUUUCCGGCCUACAAGCCGCUAUUAUUUCCCUGUGCUUUGAAGCCUGCGGCCAAUAUCAUGGUGCGGCUUGUGUAGAUUUUUUUUGGCCAACAACCACUAGAGGCACUCUCUAGCAGUAAAGUGAGACAGGCACGGCAAAACAUUAUGCGCGGAAGUAGACGCUCUUUGAUUGAAAGCGGCACGUUUACACAUCAGACAUACCCUCGUCAUGGAAAACACGUGGAGGAAUACAUAUGCUGCAGCUUACAAGUUAAAAGCGAUCCAUCUGGCCAUCAAACAAGGAAACAGAGCCACUGCACGGGAGCUUGGUAUAAAUGAAUCAAUGGUGCGACGUUGGAGGCGGCAGCGGGAAGAACUCAGUCAGUGUAAAAAAAACGACUGAAGCUUCCAGAGGAAAUAAAAGCAGAUGGCCGUGUAACGUGAGGAAGUAUGGGUUUUCUGUGCCAAAGGUUGUAUUUGCCCGGCUGGGUCAAAGCUGGGUCACGCAGCACUUUCACCCACAGAUUAAGACCUGAGCCGACAGCAAGUCUAAAGGACGCCACAACAUCCAACACCUGCAGCUUCAGAAGAAGGACUUCUCCACAGUCUAGUCAUAAUAAAACAAAGUCUUAAACUUUCUUCAUUAUUAAAGUUAAAUAAUCAUUUGAUCACUUCAAUGAAUGAUUAUUAUGCUUUGGGUAAUCAUAAUGAACUAUAAUGAAUCAGUAUAAUUAAAUAUGUUUUUGAAGAUGUUUAGCAAUGACCUUCACAUGUGCUCACACAGGUCCCACUCCAUAGUAACUCAAAACACAUUUGCUCUGACGCACAACAAGUUUGCUUUGGGAAGAGAAGUGGUUCUGGUAAGUUAGUCAGAAUGAGAUUGAGAACGAAAGAGAGCAGAAGUGUGGAACAAACGCCACGGGGAAAGGAGCCCUGCCGGCUUCCUAUUCUCCCCCCACGCUAUUUCUGUCAAGCCAGACAGAAUAGCUGAAAUGCAACCAGCUAACGCAGACUCGUCCCAGAGUCUUUUGAUUUCUGAGUUAAUUUAAACUUGAGAAAGCGCAUCUGCCGAACGCUUCAGCAAUGUGUACCGAGGUCAACUCUGGACCGGAUCGUCGCACACCUUUGUCUCCUCUGCCAGCCAAGGUGCGACCUGGAUAACACAUCCUCCGAGGUCCGGAUCUGAAAGGGGGUCCUAAGUACGGUGAGGCAGAACACAAUAGAUAGCGUUCUGAUGCUGGUUUUCUAAUAAGAACUAAAGUUUAAUUGCAAAACAUCUUUUUUCACUCAGACACCUUUUCUCUCCCUGAAGCAAUCUCAGACACCUGCUUGCACGCAUUCAUAAUUCCAUCAUUCUCAAAUCUUAGCACAUCCAACACAAGGUCUAUUUGUGCAAGCUUAAAAUAUCAACUGUUAAAGACUGUCCAACAAGGUUGCCAAUGUUGAUUGUUUUUCCUAUGAUUGUCAUUUCAAAUCGUUAGUUUAAAUUGAAGAAUUAAAAUUCUUAAAUUUUAAACUUGUCUUUUCAUUAAACUGAAACACAGACAAACGGGUAUGAUCGUCAGUUUAUCGAUGAAAACAACCUUUGAGUCUUCUUAUCUCUAUAACAUUUGGUUAUUAAUUUGUAAAAAUUAAUAUUCCAGAUUAUUAUGUAGAAUGGUUCAUCUUUCAUAAAAGAGCCGACAACCAUUACGCUACAGCCGGAAUAGGAAAACAUUCUUGAAGACUGGGUGAAGACACAAAGAGCAGACUGCCGAGGUGUUUCCACUGUUUCAGCUGUGCUGAUCAUUACUAACCAGGCAUGUUUUGUGUACAGUUUUUAUUUUCUAAUCAUCCAGGGCUUAUUAAUGCUGUGUCAGCGCUGUUCUUUUCUUCUAAACAUGCAAAUUACCGGUAAUAACGUGUCAGUGCUGUUUUUAUUUUAUAACCAUCCAGAAAUACGAAUGCUAUCAGUGCUGUUUUCUUUUCUAAACUUGCAGGCACGUUCACCAUGUUUAAAAUUUGUUUUGUUGAAUUAAAACAACAACGAAAAACCUCCGCGUCUUUCUGUCUAAUUAUCUUGUGUUAUGGCCGUACAUGCGCUGUGCGCCGGAGACCUGGAUGUGGCUGCUGCGCAGCGACUUGUAUUUGAGUGCUGCGUGUGUGUGUGUAGAAAACCCUUUUUAUUUUAUUUUUUUGCUGGUGCGGCUUUUAUUGAGGUGCGCUCUAUAGUCCGGAAAUUACAUCCUGGUUGGACUUGUACUCCUGGUGGCAGCACUUUCCCCUUGUUCAGGCACAUCCUGCUCAUGGGAUUCUUUUUUCUAUCCUGUGAGCCACCUAUCAUUACAUAAUGAUGACCUUCAGCCUGAGUUGUUGUCGAGAAAACAUUUGAUGUUUAUUUUCCCAAAUGAGCUUUUCAGCACCUGAGACAGUUUCCGGAGCGACUCACUCUCCCUCAGUGGCAGUUCAGGACCUUGGAGAGAGGCACGCCAGAAACAGGAGCUGCUGAUCCAAAUCGGCCAUCAAGCAGCCUGGAGGACUUCUAAAGGAGAGCACAGCAGUCAUCCGAGGAGAUCCAGAGCUAGUCUGAGAUUCUCCUGAGCUGGGUUCCCCUUUUUCACUAAGGCUAAACUGUGGUGUACGGUUGUCUAGGGUUUUUGGUAGAAAGUAGACUUUGUUCUUCUUCUUCAGGCUUUUUGACAGAGUUACAGCUUUAGUUUUGGUGUUUUCCCCCAUUGGACUUUUAGCCGGGGAUUUUUUUCUGUUUAGGUGGUUUCGGCCAAAUGCAGUUUUCCUAAGCUGUUACUCGCUUACGUUUUCAGUUUCCACCUUUGUAGCGCCAUUCCCUGUUGUAAGCCUCAUUUUGCCUUUAGAAAAGGACACCCUUUGUUAAUAAAUCCUCUUGAUUUUUACUUCACCACCUCAUUAUUUAUCCACUCACUCACACCUCCACCUAUUUUUCUGUGUUAGUCCCCUCAUCCUGACGUUCAGGAGGGGACGUAACACUGAUCUACGAAACCUGCAGCCAACAUACCCAUUCCCCUUCGAGCUCACACUUUUUUUUCCAAUCACUUUGGAACUUGCACGCAUAUUUCCUUUUUUUACUCAUCGUCGCCAUGUGUGUGUCUCUUCUUCUUCCGUUCUGCCGUGCUUGACUCCUAGGCGUAACAGUUAUAAUUGUCCGGCCGGAAAUGGCACCCAUUAGUUUAGGGUGGAAAAUCGGGAGAAUGGUGGCCCCGGGAGAUUUCUUGGAAGGGCACUGAAAAUAUGGAGUUCCCGGAAAAAUUGGGAGGGUUUGCAAGUAUGGUUUAGAGAUGGGAGGGAGGUCUAGGAUGGAGGAUGCAAUGACUCCCAGACGGUUCCAAAGUUUUCACCAGGUCACAGUUCCAGCCACUCUGUUGGGGGUUGGGGGGGGGGGGGGGGUACAGCGUCUGUCCACAUCCCCUCUGUGGGGAAUUUUUUCUUCAGCCUCAGACUGAAGACUCAAAGGCACCAGAUUCUGAUAAGAUGAAUUAUUUUGGGACAGGCAGAGAUAAAUGUCCUCCCUGCCAUACAGUUCUGCUGGCGUCAUUUCCAUCAAAAAAUGCCAAUAAUGGUGUUUAAACUAUUCCAGGCCAUGCAGGGACCACUCUCUCCAUGAUGACAUCCACUUUUUGUGUCAAAGCUGAAAUCGCAGCAAAAGUCUCAAGCUUGAGAUUCGUCUCGACACUUGUCCGAGUGUGUACAUUCACAGCAUGAUAAACUCCAUUCCCGAGUUCAGGAAGCUUUCCAAUUGUCCCCAAAAACUUCUUAAAGUUUUGAUAUACCCAUGCCAAAAAGCAAAAAUCAACACCUGCGAAAAUCUAUACAUCUUCAGUGUCCUCCACAGAAGGCUGGGAAAGGCAUAUUACAUUCCACUUCUUCCAAGAAUCUAAAAAACAGAGUGUGUUCCAUCCGAACAUGUAGAAGCCCCUCCCUCCAAUCUCAUUGUUGAAAAAUUUUUGUCAAUCGCGUUGAAAGACCAACUGACCAGAUCCGUAUUGUAAUAAUUUCCAGAUUUUCAGAAGCAAUGCAGAGAAGCGCCGUGGAGACAGGCAAACAGGACAAAGGGCGGAGAAAAGAAAAGUACCCAUGGUCCAGUAGUAGAUGGGCGUGACUUAGACUCCCUAUGUCCUGCCUUCUACUUUGAUUGAUGGCUACAGACAGCUUUCUCCACACAGUUUAUGCAAGACCGAAACUCAAAACGGAAGACUGUCAAUCGUACAGGGUGCUGUAGCGCGUUGCAUGAUGGAAUAGCCGGGUGUAUAAAUUAUGGAAGCAUUGGUCGCUUUGUGUGUUGUGAGAAAAUGGUACACUCUUGUUAUGCGAAGGGCUACCAUGCCAGGUCACACAAUUACAAGAAGCAAAAACUUGAUAACGACAUAAGAUGUAGUGUCUGUGCCUAAAAUAACUGGAUGUUAUUCACCUCGUCAGUGGUUUUACUUUCCAUAAUAUUUGGGCAGGUGCAACUUUUUGACUUGUGUUUCCAUUUGUGGCAUGUUUAAACAGUUCAGAAAACAAA
This is a non-coding RNA of Nothobranchius furzeri (turquoise killifish), 6564 nucleotides long. NCBI's taxonomy places the organism in Eukaryota, Metazoa, Chordata, Actinopteri, Cyprinodontiformes, Nothobranchiidae. The record is from RefSeq and is a predicted model, not a curated record.